This 21-nucleotide unclassified non-coding RNA is filed under the name Chlamydomonas reinhardtii. RNAcentral describes it as "small RNA Cre_0402". The record is from RNAcentral. Lineage: Eukaryota; Viridiplantae; Chlorophyta; Chlorophyceae; Chlamydomonadales; Chlamydomonadaceae.
ACUUGUACGCCCCCCUGUGCA